UGUUGCUAUACAUAUUACAUCGAUCUCUCAAAAUCAAAUACUUACAAUCUAUCUAUCGAUGGAAAAACACAUUAUGCUACAAAUCAUAGUAUCUCUUACUGCAGUGGUGAUCCUUGGUCUGUUUCUGAGGCUGUAUACCGCCUUAGUAGCGACGCCGCGACGGCUGCUGAGAGAGCAAGGCAUAGGAGGGCCGCCCCCCGGCUAAUUUCUUGCUCGGUAAUGUCUUGGAGAUGAAGACGCCGCCGACACGGACACCAAAAACGCUGGUGGAAGAUCCUCACUACUUUGCAACUGAGUUGCAUGCUGUUUUCCAUAAAUGGAGGCGACAAUAUUACUCCCACUCCCAUUAAUUUUUUCAUUUUGUCAUUUUUAUUUUAUUAAUUAUUGUAAUUUCACUUUUUACUAUUUUCAGUAAUUGAAGCUUAUAUUCCACUAAUUCAUUUUGUUUUAUGCAGGUGAGAUGUAUACGUUUUCACUGGGUACUAAACCGGUGUUAGUGGUGAAUGAAUGUGAUGUGAUAAAAGAGUAGGGUGCUUCCAAAUCUCUGAUCUGGGGAGACCUUUGAGUCAUUGCUCGGCAACGGCGUUUCGGCAUCAACUGGAGAAUUAUGGGCAUAUGAAAGGAAGGUUAUGGCUCCUGGGCUCAACAUGAACAAAAUCCAGGGAAUGAGAAAUUCGAUUCAACAAUCAGCACUAAUGUUGAAGGUGGUAAAGCAGAUAUCAAAGUUGAUAAUUACCUAAUAAAAUUCGCAAGAGUUUGUUUUGGAAGCAACUAUGCGGAAGGAGAACAGCUUUUCGAAAAGCUACAAGCUCUUGUGCAAGUCACCGCUAAACAAAGGUUUCCUCAUAGGCAUUCCCGGCAUGAGAUAUGUCCCGACCAAGCAGAACAGGAGGGAGUGGAAGCUGCGGAAAGAUGUGAAAGAAUUGAUCUCGAAAUUACUAGAUCAAAAAAAUAAAGCUGGGAAUGAGGAAAAUAUGCUGAAAUUUAUCCUUCAAAGCAGUUUCAGCCCAAACGAAAUGGAGGAUUUUAUUAUUGAUAAUUGCAAAAGCAUAUUAUUAGCUGGAUAUGAGCCGGUUUCGAUUGCAGCUUCUUGGAUUCUCAUGCUCUUAGCUUCGAAUAAAGAAUGGCAAGAUCGUGUAAGAGAAGAGGUUUUUGAAGUUUGCAAAGGAAAAGUUCCAGAUUUCGAUUCUAUCAGGCACUUGAAACACGUAAAAUUCAUGCCGAUCUUCAUUUUUCAAAUACUCACUUUGGGUAAUUAUGAUCUU
Molecule: long non-coding RNA, 1265 nt
Organism: Salvia splendens (bonfire salvia)
Lineage: Eukaryota; Viridiplantae; Streptophyta; Magnoliopsida; Lamiales; Lamiaceae
Exons: 3
Source: RefSeq, a predicted model, not a curated record